GAUGAACGCUGGCGGCGUGCCUAAUACAUGCAAGUCGAACGAAUCUUCUUCGGAAGAUGAGUGGCGAACGGGUGAGUAAUACGUAGGUAACCUGCCCCUGUGCGGGGGAUAACAGGAGGAAACUCCUGCUAAUACCGCAUAGCCACGAGCACCGCAUGGAGCUCAUGCCAAACAUCCUUUCGGGGAUAGCGCAGGGAUGGACCUAUGGCGCAUUAGCUGGUUGGCGGGGCAACGGCCCACCAAGGCAACGAUGCGUAGCCGGCCUGAGAGGGCGGACGGCCACAUUGGGACUGAGAGAAGGCCCAGACUCCCACGGGAGGCAGCAGUAGGGAAUUUUCGGCAAUGGGGGAAACCCUGACCGAGCAACGCCGCGUGAGCGAAGAAGGCCUUCGGGUCGUAAAGCUCUGUUGUAAAGGAAGAACGGCGCAUACAGGAAAUGGUAUGCGAGUGACGGUACUUUACCAGAAAGCCACGGCUAACUACGUGCCAGCCGCCGCAGUAA
This 502-nucleotide ribosomal RNA is filed under the name uncultured bacterium. Its description in RNAcentral is "partial 16S ribosomal RNA". It matches the Rfam family "Bacterial small subunit ribosomal RNA", at positions 28 to 523 of the family's 1533-position model. The record is from RNAcentral.